RNAcentral lists this ribosomal RNA (301 nucleotides) under uncultured bacterium. RNAcentral describes it as "partial 16S ribosomal RNA". It matches the Rfam family "Bacterial small subunit ribosomal RNA", at positions 509 to 807 of the family's 1533-position model. The record is from RNAcentral.
CAGUAGCCGCGGUAAUACGUAGGUGGCAAGCGUUGUCCGGAAUUAUUGGGCGUAAAGGGCUCGCAAGCGGUUUCUUAAGUCUGAUGUGAAGGCCCCCGGCUCAACCGGGGAGGGUCAUUGGAAACUGGGAAACUUGAGUGCAGAAGAGGAGAGUGGAAUUCCACGUGUAGCGGUGAAAUGCGUAGAGAUGUGGAGGAACACCAGUGGCGAAGGCGACUCUCUGGUCUGUAACUGACGCUGAGGAGCGAAAGCGUGGGGAGCGAACAGGAUUAGAGACCCCGGUAGUCCCUGUCUCUUAUAC